GAUGAACGCUGGCGGCGUGCCUAAUACAUGCAAGUCGAGCGAACAGAUGAGGAGCUUGCUCCUCUGACGUUGGCGGCGGUCGGGUGAGUAACACGUGGAUAACCUACCUAUAAGACUGGGAUAACUUCGGGAAACCGGAGCUAAUACCGGAUAAUAUAUUGAACCGCAUGGUUCAAUAGUGAAAGACGGUUUUGCUGUCACUUAUAGAUGGAUCCGCGCCGCAUUAGCUAGUUGGUAAGGUAACGGCUUACCAAGGCGACGAUGCGUAGCCGACCUGAGAGGGUGAUCGGCCACACUGGAACUGAGACACGGUCCAGACUCCUACGGGAGGCAGCAGUAGGGAAUCUUCCGCAAUGGGCGAAAGCCUGACGGAGCAACGCCGCGUGAGUGAUGAAGGUCUUCGGAUCGUAAAACUCUGUUAUUAGGGAAGAACAAAUGUGUAAGUAACUAUGCACGUCUUGACGGUACCUAAUCAGAAAGCCACGGCUAACUACGUG
RNAcentral lists this ribosomal RNA (497 nucleotides) under uncultured bacterium. Its description in RNAcentral is "partial 16S ribosomal RNA". It matches the Rfam family "Bacterial small subunit ribosomal RNA", at positions 28 to 507 of the family's 1533-position model. The record is from RNAcentral.